GAUAUGCUUUGGGGAGCUGUAAGUAAGCUUUGAUCCAGAGAUUUCCGAAUGGGGAAACCCAGCAUGAGUUAUGUCAUGUUAUCGAUAUGUGAAUACAUAGCAUAUCAGAAGGCACACCCGGAGAACUGAAACAUCUUAGUACCCGGAGGAAGAGAAAGAAAAUUCGAUUCCCUUAGUAGCGGCGAGCGAAACGGGAAGAGCCCAAACCAACAAGCUUGCUUGUUGGGGUUGUAGGACACUCUAUACGGAGUUACAAAGGACGACAUUAGACGAAUCAUCUGGAAAGAUGAAUCAAAGAAGGUAAUAAUCCUGUAGUCGAAAAUGUUGUCUCUCUUGAGUGGAUCCUGAGUACGACGGAGCACGUGAAAUUCCGUCGGAAUCUGGGAGGACCAUCUCCUAAGGCUAAAUACUCUCUAGUGACCGAUAGUGAACCAGUACCGUGAGGGAAAGGUGAAAAGCACCCCGGAAGGGGAGUGAAAUAGAACCUGAAACCGUGUGCUUACAAGUAGUCAGAGCCCGUUAAUGGGUGAUGGCGUGCCUUUUGUAGAAUGAACCGGCGAGUUACGAUUUGAUGCAAGGUUAAGCAGUAAAUGUGGAGCCGUAGCGAAAGCGAGUCUGAAUAGGGCGUUUAGUAUUUGGUCGUAGACCCGAAACCAGGUGAUCUACCCUUGGUCAGGUUGAAGUUCAGGUAACACUGAAUGGAGGACCGAACCGACUUACGUUGAAAAGUGAGCGGAUGAACUGAGGGUAGCGGAGAAAUUCCAAUCGAACCUGGAGAUAGCUGGUUCUCUCCGAAAUAGCUUUAGGGCUAGCCUCAAGUGAUGAUUAUUGGAGGUAGAGCACUGUUUGGACGAGGGGCCCCUCUCGGGUUACCGAAUUCAGACAAACUCCGAAUGCCAAUUAAUUUAACUUGGGAGUCAGAACAUGGGUGAUAAGGUCCGUGUUCGAAAGGGAAACAGCCCAGACCACCAGCUAAGGUCCCAAAAUAUAUGUUAAGUGGAAAAGGAUGUGGCGUUGCCCAGACAACUAGGAUGUUGGCUUAGAAGCAGCCAUCAUUUAAAGAGUGCGUAAUAGCUCACUAGUCGAGUGACACUGCGCCGAAAAUGUACCGGGGCUAAACAUAUUACCGAAGCUGUGGAUUGUCCUUUGGACAAUGGUAGGAGAGCGUUCUAAGGGCGUUGAAGCAUGAUCGUAAGGACAUGUGGAGCGCUUAGAAGUGAGAAUGCCGGUGUGAGUAGCGAAAGACGGGUGAGAAUCCCGUCCACCGAUUGACUAAGGUUUCCAGAGGAAGGCUCGUCCGCUCUGGGUUAGUCGGGUCCUAAGCUGAGGCCGACAGGCGUAGGCGAUGGAUAACAGGUUGAUAUUCCUGUACCACCUAUAAUCGUUUUAAUCGAUGGGGGGACGCAGUAGGAUAGGCGAAGCGUG
This 1425-nucleotide ribosomal RNA is filed under the name Staphylococcus aureus. Its description in RNAcentral is "partial 23S ribosomal RNA". It matches the Rfam family "Bacterial large subunit ribosomal RNA", at positions 70 to 1495 of the family's 2925-position model. Lineage: Bacteria; Bacillati; Bacillota; Bacilli; Caryophanales; Staphylococcaceae. The record is from RNAcentral.